RNAcentral lists this ribosomal RNA (253 nucleotides) under uncultured bacterium. RNAcentral's name for it is "partial 16S ribosomal RNA". It matches the Rfam family "Bacterial small subunit ribosomal RNA", at positions 524 to 776 of the family's 1533-position model. The record is from RNAcentral.
UACGUAGGGUGCGAGCGUUAAUCGGAAUUACUGGGCGUAAAGCGUGCGCAGGCGGCUUUGUAAGACAGAUGUGAAAUCCCCCGGCUUAACCUGGGAACUGCAUUUGUGACUGGAAGACUAGAGUGCGGCAGAGGGGGGUGGAAUUCCACGUGUAGCGGUGAAAUGCGUAGAUAUGUGGAGGAAUACCGGUGGCGAAGGCAGCCCCCUGGGUCGACACUGACGCUGAUGCGCGAAAGCGUGGGGAGCAAACAGG